CGCUCCUUGAUUUUAAUUGAUAAGGAGUCGGACCUGCCCAGUGAUAAGUAUUUAACGGCCGCGGUACUCUGACCGUGCAAAGGUAGCAUAAUCAUUUGCCCUAUAAUUGAGGGCUAGUAUGAAUGGUUUGACAAGAACAAUACUGUCUCUUUCAAAANUUUCUAGAAUUUAUUCUUUAGGUGAAGAAACCUAAAUAAAAUUAAAAGACAAGAAGACCCUAUCGAGCUUAAACUCUUUUUAUAAAAUAAAAAAAAUUAAUAAUAUUUUUUGUUAUAAAAAAUUUUGGUUGGGGCGACUAAGGAACAAAAAAAGCUUCUUUAUUUAAUAAAGACAAAUAUGUAUUGAUCCAUAAAANUCUUGAUUAAAAGAACUAGUUACCGUAGGGAUAACAGCAUAAUCUUUUUUAAGAGUUCUUAUCGAAAAAAAGGUUUGUGACCUCGAUGUUGGACUAAAAUUUCCUAAUAGAUGCAGACGUCUUUAAGGG
RNAcentral lists this ribosomal RNA (484 nucleotides) under Melarhaphe neritoides. Its description in RNAcentral is "partial 16S ribosomal RNA". It matches the Rfam family "Bacterial large subunit ribosomal RNA", at positions 1816 to 2571 of the family's 2925-position model. The record is from RNAcentral. Lineage: Eukaryota; Metazoa; Mollusca; Gastropoda; Littorinimorpha; Littorinidae.